GUCUAGGGCCAUACCACCCUUAAUGUGCCUGAUCUAGUCUGAUCUCAGAAGCUAAGCAGGUUGGGCCUCGUUAGUACUUGGAUGGAAGAAGGGAAUGCAAGGAAUGGUGAGUCCUAGUUC
Molecule: ribosomal RNA, 120 nt
Filed under: Jaculus jaculus (lesser Egyptian jerboa)
Lineage: Eukaryota; Metazoa; Chordata; Mammalia; Rodentia; Dipodidae
Source: RNAcentral